CCGUAACAGGGUAGUUAUAAAGGUAGCUUUCGGGUUUGUCAAGAAGCAUGCUAUGAGACAUGGUCAAUCAAGAUGGGAUUUGCCCCUCUCUGAUUGAGAGUGAUAUCUCUGGGCCCCUCGAGUGAUCGGAUCCGAAAAUGCAUGGUCAUGCUACGUACGGUUAAGAGUUAACCUACAAAGGGAUUCCGAAUCACAGGAUCGAGAAAGAGCGGUCGGCUUGAAGCUAGACCAAAUAUCCUGAGGCAAAGGGAAUAGCAUGUAUAUUAUGUUGUGAUGGUUCGUCUGAUAUGAUCUUCGUGUGCGUAUAGGAUUUGGCACGUCUUGCUAGAGGUCGCUACCGACUAUUGGGCCGAGUAGGAGUACUCGGGCCAUGUCUAUACGUAUCCGAACCCAUAGGGUCACACACUUAAGGGGCUGGAAGCCAAAUUUGGAUCAGAUCCGAGUUGGAUUAGGUUUAGAAGUACUAAUGGGCCUCGGAUCCAGAGGCCCGUCAGGAACCUCUAUAAAUAGAGGGGUGGGGGCGCCCUAGGGUUUACACCUUUUGGCAAAACACACCUGCCGCGCCUCCCACGCCCUCGCCUGUUGCAACUCACGGAUCUAGCAGUCCGGCUUGCGACGCUUCCUCCCUGCACGUGUGGAUACCUUGGAGGUGUUGCGCCUGCAGCACUUGGACGAGCCAUCGACGAGCCGCCAAUGAGCCGCGACGAGCUGACGACGAGCCGCGACACCGGAGGCGAUCUUGCUGCACGUGGACGAGCUGCUGAGGAGCUGCUGGACGUGAUCGACUACGUACGACUACGUUGAUCGACUACGUACGACUAUGUGAUCGUCUUCGCUGCAUCGACGCAUAUCUACAUCUUCCGCACCAGUAGUGCGUCGAGUGGUAAUCCCGUGAUCCUUAUACGGCAAAUCUUCCUGGUUAUACGCGGUAGAAAUUUUGAUUUGCGCUAGCGUAGCCUACCUCGUAUCCCAACAGUGGUAUCAGAGCCGUAGCUGCUUAGUUUUGGAUUCGGGAUGUGUGCAUAUGGAGAUAUGCGAGUUCUCUGUUUGAUCUAUGUCCUGAUUUCGUGUCCUUGCUGCAAUGGUAGUGUAACGACAUACUCCUACCGGUCGGUUUCCACCAUCGGAGUUAAGUGAUACACGUAAAUCCAGUUGCAGUGAGCGAAGAUCAAUAUGAUUGGUCGAAUCGAGAUCCAGGGUCAUACGCCAGGCGCAUUAGAUGUGCAAUAGUAGAUGGGGUCUACUGCUGGGGUCGGGAUUUUUGCUGUAUGCGUAUGCUUCGGUAAAUCAGCCGUAACUUUUCGGUACGAUCUCGGAUCGGGGCGAUUUUUAUACGAAAAUUGAUCUACAGAAAAAGUUACACAUGAAAUCCGAAGUUUGGAACGUUAGGACGCCUAACUCUCUUUUGCAGGAUGUAUGUAUGUAUCUUGUGAUCAGUAUGGCCCCCUUGUGUAUGUGAUGCAUGUGUGUAACUCAUUCGUGACCUGCGUGUCGCGCGUACGGCAACACGGCAGGAGCCAUAUGUGUUGUCACUUUAUUGUAUUUAAUGGUCUACGUACCAAUCUGUGAUGAUCCAAGCAACUAUGUAAUCUUCAUUACUAGAUUCUUUACUAGCUAUUAGGCGUAAUAGCAUGCUCUAGUUCUUGGAGGACUCAUCACCAGGAGGAUGGUGCACAUGGAACAUGGAGAUGGAGAUCACCAUGGUGAACAGGUUCUAUGGAGAUGGAGAUCACAAUAUGAAAACGGGCCAUACUGUGUCACAAGCUGUGUGAAUGCUAUUCUGUUUAUGUUUUACUUUCUGCAUGCUGUGAUGUUAGAAGUAGAACGAUCCCUCACAAAGUUUAAGUUAGUAUGCCCUCCCAACUAAAACUUGCACCGUCCCAUGUCUUGUACAAUUAGUGGUGGGUCUAUAAAAUUAGGGUGCCACUAGUUUUCCUUGACUAGACGGGUUUGUGUCGGACACUUACACGCAUAAGGGUUGGUUUGCUUAACAAGGUUAUCUUAACGGUUAAGGACCUUGGGGCAUAAAGGUUGGGCGCCGAGACAUAGAGAUGUCACCCAACAACAGGAGUCAUAUGUGAUAUGAUUAGCAAAAGUUGCUUACCGAUCUACCUCGUUUGCUAGCGGUGAUGCUAAAGCUCACUAGUGGACUUGUUAGUUGUGGAUCCUAAAUCACUAAGUUUCAAUAGAGGGAUAUUGAUUUUAGUGGGAGUAGAUUCUGUUAAAAUAGUUUAAUAUGAUUUACUCUAUCAUGGAUACGUUUGUCUUAGUGUAUUUUGCAUUACUUUGUUGUAGAUUAAAUGGCACCUAGCAGCACUACACCAUUUGCUUUGCGUUCGGUCCUUGAGAAGGACAAGUUGAAUGGAACAAAUUACUCGGAUUGGAUCCGUAACCUGAGAAUUGUUCUCAGGGCUGAGAAAAAGGAAGAUGUUCUAGACAACCCACUACCAGAAGAACCUGCUGAUGAUGCACCCGCUGCUGCUAAGAAUGCUUACAAGAAGGCAUGUGAUGCUAACCUUGAAGUAAGCUGCCUUAUGCUUGCUUGCAUGGAACCCGAGCUGCAGAUGCAGUUCGAAACAAACCAUGAGGCGCACGAUAUGAUCGUGGCGCUUAGGGACAUGUUCCAAACACAGGCCAGGACUGAAAGGUUCAAUGUGUCUAAGGCCUUUGUUGAGAGCAAGCUAGCAGAAGGCGCAGCAGUAGGACCACACGUAAUCAAGAUGGUUGGUUACACUCAACGGUUGGAGAAGCUGGGCUUCCCACUGAGCCAAGAGUUGGCCACUGAUUUCAUUCUUUCGUCUCUUCCACCUAGCUAUGGGAACUUCAUCUCGAACUACCAUAUGCAUGGGACGGAGAAGGGUCUGAAUGAGCUGUGUGGCAUGCUUAAAACAGCAGAGGCUGACAUCAAGAAAAGCGCUAGUACCAGCCAUGUGAUGGCGAUACAGAACAAGCCUAGCUUUAAGAAGAAGGGAAAUUCUUGGAAGAAGAAGGGCAAGGCUGGAACGUCCAAGCCAAACCCAACGCCCAAUGUUAAAGCUGGACCUGGACCUACUCCAGACAAGGAGUGCUUUUAGUGUCAUGAACUUGGUCACUGGAAGAGAAACUGCAAGCAGUACCUAGCUUCCUUGAAGAAUGGCGGAAGUAAGAGUACUUCUACCUCAGGUACGCUUGUUGUUAAUGUUAUAGACAACAUAUUUCUCGCUGAUACAAUUAUUAAUUCUUGGGUAUUUGAUACCGGAUCGGUUGCUCAUAUUUGCAAUUCGAUGCAGGGAAUGAUAAGAAGUAGAAGAGUGGAAAGAGGAGAAGUUGAUUUCCGCGUGGGCAAUAAUGCAAGAGUUGCUGCUUUGACCGUCGGGACGAUGCAACUCCACCUCCCGUCAGGAUUUAUUAUGGAGUUGAAUAAUUGUUAUUUUGUUCCUAGUUUAAGUCGAAACAUUUUGUCUCCUUCAUGUUUGAUGAAGGAUGGUUAUUCAUUUGCGAGUGAAAACAAUGGUUGUGUGAUCUCUAAGAAUAAUAUGUUUAUGGCUUUUGCACCCAUUGUGAAUGGAUUAUUUGUUUUAAAUCUUGAUGGUUCACCUGUCUGUAAUGUAAGUGCUAAAAGGCCUCGGCCUAAUGAUUUGAGUCCUACCUACUUGUGGCAUUGUCGUUUGGGUCAUAUAAGUGAUAAGCGCAUGAAGAAGCUCCAUUCUGAUGGACUUCUAACUUCGUUUGAUUUUGAAUCAUACGAGACAUGUGAGGCUUGCUUGCUAGGCAAGAUGACCAAGACGCUUUUCACAGGAUUUCCUGAGAGAGCAGUAGACUUGUUGGAACUCGUACAUAGUGAUGUAUGCGGACCAAUGAGCACGACGGCUAGAGGAGGAUUCCAAUACUUCAUAACUUUCACUGAUGAUUUUAGUAGAUAUGGCUAUGUCUACUUGAUGAGGCACAAGUCUGAUUGACUCUAGUGCAAGUGGGAGACUGUUGGAGGUAUGCCCUAGAGGCAAUCAUAGAGAUGAUGAUAUUCCAUUUGUAUCCAUGAUUUGUAUAUUGUGUUCAUUGAAUAUCCAUUAAAGGCUACUUGAAUUGAUUUGCAAUUAUGUGAAUUGUAUGUGAAACUCUUUACUUGUAUGGUUAUUCUAAAGUUGUCCCUAGUCGGAGUUCAUGUGAGGACACACAUGAAUAUUAGACUAGCACAUGUAUUAGUUGAUGACUAUGUUUCACAAGUCACGGACAUGGAGAUGUUGAACUAAUAAUGUGGACACAUGUGAAGACAUGUGCUAGGACUGACCCAACACGAGAAGUAGUUCUCUCUUUAAAACAACAUAUACGCUUUGUCCUUAGACCUGAGAUUGUCGCAUGUAUUCUAGAUGUGGAUCGACCUACUUAGGGGCUAUCAAACGCUACGCCGUAACAGGGUAGUUAUAAAGGUAGCUUUCGGGUUUGUCAAGAAGCAUGCUAUGAGACAUGGUCAAUCAAGAUGGGAUUUGCCCCUCUCUGAUUGAGAGUGAUAUCUCUGGGCCCCUCGAGUGAUCGGAUCCGAAAAUGCAUGGCCAUGCUACGUACGGUUAAGAGUUAACCUACAAAGGGAUUCCGAAUCACAGGAUCGAGAAAGAGCGGUCGGCUUGAAGCUAGACCAAAUAUCGU
Molecule: long non-coding RNA, 4623 nt
Filed under: Setaria italica (foxtail millet)
Lineage: Eukaryota; Viridiplantae; Streptophyta; Magnoliopsida; Poales; Poaceae
Description: long non-coding RNA (SITA_LNC002783)
Source: RNAcentral